RNAcentral lists this ribosomal RNA (429 nucleotides) under bacterium. RNAcentral describes it as "partial 16S ribosomal RNA". It matches the Rfam family "Bacterial small subunit ribosomal RNA", at positions 355 to 776 of the family's 1533-position model. The record is from RNAcentral.
UAGGGAAUCUUCGGCAAUGGGGGCAACCCUGACCGAGCAACGCCGCGUGAGUGAAGAAGGUUUUCGGAUCGUAAAGCUCUGUUGUAAGAGAAGAACGUGUGUGAGAGUGGAAAGUUCACACAGUGACGGUAACUUACCAGAAAGGGACGGCUAACUACGUGCCAGCAGCCGCGGUAAUACGUAGGUCCCGAGCGUUGUCCGGAUUUAUUGGGCGUAAAGCGAGCGCAGGCGGUUUAAAAAGUCUGAAGUUAAAGGCAGUGGCUUAACCAGUGUUCGCUUUGGAAACUGUUAAACUUGAGUGCAGAAGGGGAGAGUAGAAUUCCAUGUGUAGCGGUGAAAUGCGUAGAUAUAUGGGGGAAAACCGGUGGCGAAAGCGGCUCUCUGGUCUGUAACUGACGCUGAGGCUCGAAAGCGUGGGGAGCAAACAGG